CUUACAAGCCCCUUAUGGCAGCGACACCAAAUGGCUCCCCCCAGGUGUAGUCUUCACACCUAGCUGUGAUAUCUCUGCAGAAAGGGAAGUUCUUUUGUGUAGGGUCAACCUAAGGAAACCAGCUGUAAUUGCGUUAUCUGCUGGGCAUCUAUUGACUGACUUGAACAAAAGGACUAUGUUGAUCUCUGGGU
Molecule: long non-coding RNA, 191 nt
Organism: Bufo bufo (common toad)
Lineage: Eukaryota; Metazoa; Chordata; Amphibia; Anura; Bufonidae
Exons: 4
Source: RefSeq, a predicted model, not a curated record